Zootermopsis nevadensis is the source of this 1839-nucleotide long non-coding RNA. RefSeq lists it as uncharacterized. NCBI's taxonomy places the organism in Eukaryota, Metazoa, Arthropoda, Insecta, Blattodea, Termopsidae. The record is from RefSeq and is a predicted model, not a curated record.
GUACUGGACACAUCUGGAUGGAACUAAAACUCUACUCAGUAACUGUGGAGAAGAAGUCUUCUCAAAAAGUCAUCAGUUAUUUUACUGAUGUAGAAAAUUAACCUUUCCCUUGCUAACAAACUCCUUACAUCAGCAACUGGUAAUUUAUUUGAUGUGGGCGAUGCGGACACUGGAACUGAGAAUAUGCCUCACCAUGUUCUUCUCGUAUCGGUAACUCUCGCCACGUCAUACGCCGAAAUGCCUCGUCUGCCAUGAUAUAUCACCUCCUGACCAUCAGCAGCCCUGAGGUACUCUCUGUCAGAAUUCUGAUUACUACAACUGCUGAAGUUUGCUUUCUUUCAAUUCUGUAACACACAAUGGAAUAGUUCUGUCAGCAAAAUGUUCUAUUUUUGUAUUCCGAUAAGUGGUGAAACUUCCGUCGUCUGUUCGCACGAUAAAAUAACUCUUAAGAAUGAAAAAAAAUUAGUGAGAAAGCCAGAUAAAGCAAAUCUUCACCCACAUUUCGUCCGUAGUUCAUACGUCUCAUACUAUUAGCCUUCCAGCAGACGUUCUGUAAUUCUUGGGAAGUAAAAAUCUCCUCUUCAAUAUAUCUACAAGAAAUAUAUAUCUCACUUCAAUACUAUGAUUAAAUUUACUUUAAGGAAAUAAUUUGUUAACACCGAAAUUAAAGUAUUAUUAGAAAACUCAUCUGGUGUAUUGGGAGUACACCUAAAGCACACUAGUGAAAAUGUAUUCCAGUCUGGAGAGGAAGGCAGUAAGUUCUUCAGAAAAACUGGAAGUUCCUUGCAAAAGAGAAUGGUGUUUCAAUACACGUAACAAAUACAAAUAAGUAAACUUAUUUCAUUCCUCUUAAUCAUUCUGCCAAUUCUCACUAAACAUUGUCAAUAUAAUCUUCACAACUGACAAAGAAUCAUUAAAUAAACAAAAAAAAUAUUAAAUAACUUAGUGAAGGAAGCCACUGAGAACAGAGAAAACUGAAGGCAUUUCCAUAUUUUCUCACUUACUUAAAACACUGUCAGAAUCUCAGACUAUAACACCAAAUGAUAAAAUUAUUAAUGAACAAAGAAUUUGACGAGACGUCCAUGGAAGCGAUCAUGGCGUAACUGAAGGUACAUAUUUUUUAAAAAAAAAAUCUUGUAUCCAACAUAAAAAUAAACCAUUUGUGAACGUUAUCCUUUUUGUAAUACGACCAGACGUCUACAACAUAAUACACUACAUUAACUCUUAUAACCAUCAAUAUGCGUAAGAAAACAGCAUUCUACUUGACAGAAAUAAUAACUAUAUAUAACAAAAGGCUUCCAGUGAUAAUGUGUGAGGGUGUCUCGAGAGCGGAAGCUUCUGAACCACCAAAGUUAUUUCCGUCUCAUCGGAUAACUAAAGGAGCGCAAAUGACUGGUCAGUGAUUUCUUUCACAAUGGGAUAGUUGCCUUCGUGUUACGGUGAGACACGAUUAAACAUCUGCGAUGACUACGUAACAUAUACCAAAGUCUUCUUAUGCAUAUUUCUAUAACCUGGUAAUCACAGCGUCUCGAUGGAUUUAUGGAUGAGUAACUGGAAAAUAAAAUUAUUUCGUGUAAGAAUAAUGAGAAUUUCUUUCAAAGGUACAACAUUUGUAACACACAAGUUUAAUACCAUCGAUAAUCUUUGUAAAUGAUAAGAUGACGGUCCACGUACAAUUAAGUUUAUACAAUGUAUUCUCCCAUUUUCCUACCAGUGUGACAGAUUCUGUAAGCCUCCUAUAUGACUAAUGCUUAAAAAUUACUUUUCUGUUAUUUAUUAUUUAAUUUUAAAAAAAUAUGUGUGUGUUUCGUUUAAUAAAUUACACUAUCACACAAUAUA